GACGAACGCUGGCGGCGUGCUUAACACAUGCAAGUCGAACGGAAAGGCCUGCUUUCCCUUGUGGAUUGCGGGUACUCGAGUGGCGAACGGGUGAGUAACACGUGAGUGAUCUGCCCCCAACUUGGGUAUAAGCCUGGGAAACUGGGUCUAAUUCCCGAUAGGACUGCAGGGUGGUGCCUGUGGUGGAAAACGAUUUUCUAGUGGUUGGGGAUGAGCUCGCGGCCUAUCAGCUUGUUGGUGGGGUAAUGGCCUACCAAGGCGGCGACGGGUAGCCGGCCUGGGAGGGUGGACGGCCACAUUGGGACUGAGAUACGGCCCAGACUCCUACGGGAGGCAGCAGUGGGGAAUAUUGCACAAUGGGCGGAAGCCUGAUGCAGCGACGCCGCGUGGGGGAUGACGGCCUUCGGGUUGUAAACUCCUUUCGACCGCGAGGAAGCCACCUGGUUGGAAGGUUGGUGACGGUAGUGGUAGAAGAAGCACCGGCUAACUACGUG
RNAcentral lists this ribosomal RNA (494 nucleotides) under uncultured bacterium. RNAcentral describes it as "partial 16S ribosomal RNA". It matches the Rfam family "Bacterial small subunit ribosomal RNA", at positions 28 to 507 of the family's 1533-position model. The record is from RNAcentral.